Non-coding RNA from Pelobates cultripes (western spadefoot toad), 242 nucleotides. Lineage: Eukaryota; Metazoa; Chordata; Amphibia; Anura; Pelobatidae. The record is from the annotation of a GenBank genome assembly.
CAUAUAUUUUUUAAAGUAGGCAACCCAGGGUAUGCAUAUGGAGUAUGUCCAGGUUUUUUUUAGUAGCCACUUCGUCACAAACACUGGCCAAAGUUAGCAUUUAUAUUUGUCUGUGUGUUAAAAAUGCAAAAACAAUUAUGAACACAAACUUUGGCCAGUGCUUGUGACUAAGUGGCUACUAAAAAAGACUGAAUAUAUCCCAUUUGCAAUACCUUGGGUUGUCUUCUUUUGCAAAUGGUAUG